RNAcentral lists this ribosomal RNA (492 nucleotides) under uncultured bacterium. Its description in RNAcentral is "partial 16S ribosomal RNA". It matches the Rfam family "Bacterial small subunit ribosomal RNA", at positions 29 to 507 of the family's 1533-position model. The record is from RNAcentral.
AGUGAACGCUGGCGGUAGGCCUAACACAUGCAAGUCGAACGGCAGCACAGUAAGAGCUUGCUCUUACGGGUGGCGAGUGGCGGACGGGUGAGGAAUACAUCGGAAUCUACUUUUUCGUGGGGGAUAACGUAGGGAAACUUACGCUAAUACCGCAUACGACCUACGGGUGAAAGCAGGGGAUCUUCGGACCUUGCGCGAUUGAAUGAGCCGAUGUCGGAUUAGCUAGUUGGCGGGGUAAAGGCCCACCAAGGCGACGAUCCGUAGCUGGUCUGAGAGGAUGAUCAGCCACACUGGAACUGAGACACGAUCCAGACGCCUACGGGAGGCAGCAGUGGGGAAUAUUGGACAAUGGGCGCAAGCCUGAUCCAGCCAUACCGCGUGGGUGAAGAAGACCUUCGGGUUGUAAAGCCCUUUUGUGGGGAAAGAAAAGCAGCAGGUUAAUACCCCGCUGUUCUGACGGUACCCGAAGAAUAAGCACCGGCUAACUUCGUG